RNAcentral lists this unclassified non-coding RNA (313 nucleotides) under Hypholoma capnoides. RNAcentral describes it as "partial internal transcribed spacer region". The stretch from base 1 to 46 matches the Rfam family "Eukaryotic small subunit ribosomal RNA", at positions 1786 to 1831 of the family's 1831-position model. The record is from RNAcentral. Lineage: Eukaryota; Fungi; Basidiomycota; Agaricomycetes; Agaricales; Strophariaceae.
AAGUCGUAACAAGGUUUCCGUAGGUGAACCUGCGGAAGGAUCAUUAUUGAAUGAACUUGGCUUGGUUGCUGCUGGUCUUUUCGAAGACAUGUGCACGCCAUGUCAUCUUUAUAUCUCCACCUGUGCACCUUUUGUAGACCUGGAUUCAAUUUUCCGAGGUAACUCGGUCGUGAGGAACUGCUUAACGGCUUUCCUUGUUAGUUUCCAGGCCUAUGUUUUCAUAUACACCAUACGAAUGUAACAGAAUGUCAUUAUUAGGCUUAAUUGUCUUAUAAACUAUAUACAACUUUCAGCAACGGAUCUCUUGGCUCUC